UACGAAGGGAGCUAGCGUUGUUCGGCAUCACUGGGCGUAAAGCGCACGUAGGCGGAUGUGUCAGUCAGGGGUGAAAUCCCGGAGCUCAACUUCGGAACUGCCUUUGAUACAGCACAUCUGGAGUCCGGAAGAGGUGGGUGGAAUUCCUAGUGUAGAGGUGAAAUUCGUAGAUAUUCGCAAGAACACCAGUGGCGAAGGCGGCUCACUGGCCCGGUACUGACGCUGAGGUGCGAAAGCGUGGGGAGCAAACAGG
This 253-nucleotide ribosomal RNA is filed under the name uncultured bacterium. RNAcentral describes it as "partial 16S ribosomal RNA". It matches the Rfam family "Bacterial small subunit ribosomal RNA", at positions 524 to 776 of the family's 1533-position model. The record is from RNAcentral.